UCGUGAUACUUUCCAAUAUCAUAUCUCAGAUAUUACCUAAAAAUGUUCUAAAAUCCAAAUAACAUUUAAAGGAUAAAACUGUCAAUUCAUCUUAUCACUUCAACAUUAAAGUUGAAAGUGGAAACUCCCCAUUUGGAAAUUUGCUCUGUUUGCACUUUUGCAUAGGUACUAACAUUCCCAUUGCAUACAGAGUUCUUCUGGCAAUGGCUAUUUCGGCUCCUCCUGUGCUCACUGGAAAAAGAUGGAAAAAGAGUUCACAGCUUAUGGGCUGAGCCUCAUGAAUCCUCCUUCCAUUGAUGAGCGCUUCAAAAUUCUUUAGAAAGUUGAGUCUUUUUACUGAAAGCGGUUAGUCAGGACCCAUUUGAUUCGACCACAAGUGCAAUACAACCUUUAAUGAAAGUGUUGGUUAGGGACGAGUUUUUGGGGCAUACCAACGAAGAUAUCAAAAUUUCAAUGAUUUCUUGUAUCACUGAUAUUUCUUGAAUAUAUGGCCAAAAGUACUCUUACAAUGAUCAUAGACAAAUGGAGGUAGAACUAUAUCAUUCUAACUUAUAUUUUUGUUAUUACUUCAAUAUUUUUUCCUUUUUUCACCCUGGCCAA
Molecule: long non-coding RNA, 600 nt
Organism: Solanum lycopersicum (tomato)
Lineage: Eukaryota; Viridiplantae; Streptophyta; Magnoliopsida; Solanales; Solanaceae
Source: RefSeq, a predicted model, not a curated record